This 591-nucleotide long non-coding RNA is filed under the name Prunus persica (peach). Its description in RNAcentral is "long non-coding RNA (PPER_LNC001509)". Lineage: Eukaryota; Viridiplantae; Streptophyta; Magnoliopsida; Rosales; Rosaceae. The record is from RNAcentral.
CUUAUUGAGUGUUUUGAGUUUUUUUUGAGGUUUUGGGGUUGGGUUGUUUUAAGAAAUCAAUGGCAGUUUUGUAAUUUAAAAGAAGUUAAAAGUCUUUUUGUUAUGUUGUAAAUGAAUUUUAGGUGUGUUUCUAAAGUCUAUUUCUGAGGUUUUUUUAAUAAAUUGGGCUCCUAUAUUUAGUAUAAUAGUAAAUCUCUCCUUCUUUUUUUUUUUUGCCAACCUUAGAGCAUUUCAACUCGAAGGCACCGACCAGAGCAAGAGGCCCACCAAGCCCCCAAAUGUAUUUCCGAGGCCCAAGUCUUGCCAAAGCAAGAGCUGAGCUCCACCAACCUGGGCAAGCUAACCCAAUGUGAUGUCAGCAGUCAAUUUAAAUAACAAAAAAUUUGAAAAACGAAAGAAAAAAGACCAAGAAUUUUAGAAAUUUUUUAAAAAAAUAAAUACCUAGCCAUAUUCUUCACUUCCCACACCAAAAGUCUAUACAAAUUCUUCUGCUCAUAUCUCAUGUGAAUAGUGGUUGCCAUAGCAAUGGAUGGAAAACCAAUAAAAAAAUUGCUGUGGCAGACACUAUUUAUGUUAAUAGUAACAACUCUU